RNAcentral lists this ribosomal RNA (253 nucleotides) under uncultured bacterium. RNAcentral's name for it is "partial 16S ribosomal RNA". It matches the Rfam family "Bacterial small subunit ribosomal RNA", at positions 524 to 776 of the family's 1533-position model. The record is from RNAcentral. RNAcentral also lists the same sequence under 1 other name.
UACGAAGGGUGCAAGCGUUACUCGGAAUUACUGGGCGUAAAGCGUGCGUAGGUGGUUGUUUAAGUCUGAUGUGAAAGCCCUGGGCUCAACCUGGGAAUGGCAUUGGAUACUGGAUAGCUAGAGUGCGGUAGAGGGUAGUGGAAUUCCCGGUGUAGCAGUGAAAUGCGUAGAGAUCGGGAGGAACAUCCGUGGCGAAGGCGACUACCUGGGCCAGCACUGACACUGAGGCACGAAAGCGUGGGGAGCAAACAGG